RNAcentral lists this ribosomal RNA (492 nucleotides) under uncultured bacterium. Its description in RNAcentral is "partial 16S ribosomal RNA". It matches the Rfam family "Bacterial small subunit ribosomal RNA", at positions 29 to 507 of the family's 1533-position model. The record is from RNAcentral.
AGUGAACGCUGGCGGUAGGCCUAACACAUGCAAGUCGAACGGCAGCACAGUAGGAGCUUGCUCUUACGGGUGGCGAGUGGCGGACGGGUGAGGAAUACAUCGGAAUCUACUUUUUCGUGGGGGAUAACGUAGGGAAACUUACGCUAAUACCGCAUACGACCUACGGGUGAAAGCAGGGGAUCUUCGGACCUUGCGUGAUUGAAUGAGCCGAUGUCGGAUUAGCUAGUUGGCGGGGUAAAGGCCCACCAAGGCGACGAUCCGUAGCUGGUCUGAGAGGAUGAUCAGCCACACUGGAACUGAGACACGGUCCAGACUCCUACGGGAGGCAGCAGUGGGGAAUAUUGGACAAUGGGCGCAAGCCUGAUCCAGCCAUACCGCGUGGGUGAAGAAGGCCUUCGGGUUGUAAAGCCCUUUUGUUGGGAAAGAAAAGCAGCAGGUUAAUACCCCGCUGUUCUGACGGUACCCAAAGAAUAAGCACCGGCUAACUUCGUG